GUUUGUCAUGGCUCGCACGAAGCAGACAGCCCGCAAGUCGACCGGCGGCAAGGCCCCGCGCAAGCAGCUGGCCACCAAGGCGGCCCGCAAGAGCGCGCCGGCCACCGGCGGCGUCAAGAAGCCACACCGCUACCGGCCCGGCACGGUGGCCCUGCGCGAGAUCCGGCGCUACCAGAAGUCCACCGAGCUGCUGAUCCGCAAGCUGCCGUUCCAGCGGCUGGUGCGCGAGAUCGCGCAGGACUUCAAGACGGACCUGCGCUUCCAGAGCUCGGCCGUGAUGGCGCUGCAGGAGGCGUGCGAGGCCUACCUGGUGGGGCUCUUCGAGGACACCAACCUGUGCGCCAUCCACGCCAAGCGCGUCACCAUCAUGCCCAAGGACAUCCAGCUGGCGCGCCGCAUCCGUGGGGAGAGGGCGCGGGACGCCUCGCCCGCGAUGCGCUCGAAGAUGUCGUUGACGAACGAGUUCAUGAUGCCCAUGGCCUUGGACGAGAUGCCGCUCUCCUUGCGGCUGCGCUUGCGCUUCUUGCCGUCCUUCUUCUGCGCCUUGGUCACCGCCUUCUUGGAGCCCUUCUUCGGGGCCGGAGCCGAUUUGGCGGGCUCGGGCAUGGGCCGAGGUCCUCAUCCGGUUUCUUCUCUUCGCCGCUAAACCAUGGCUCGCACGAAGCAGACGGCCCGCAAGUCGACCGGCGGCAAGGCCCCGCGCAAGCAGCUGGCCACCAAGGCGGCUCGCAAGAGCGCGCCGGCCACCGGCGGCGUCAAGAAGCCGCACCGCUACCGGCCCGGCACGGUGGCCCUGCGCGAGAUCCGGCGCUACCAGAAGUCCACCGAGCUGCUGAUCCGCAAGCUGCCGUUCCAGCGGCUGGUGCGCGAGAUCGCGCAGGACUUCAAGACCGACCUGCGCUUCCAGAGCUCGGCCGUCAUGGCCCUGCAGGAGGCGUGCGAGGCCUACCUGGUGGGGCUCUUCGAGGACACCAACCUGUGCGCCAUCCACGCCAAGCGCGUCACCAUCAUGCCCAAGGACAUCCAGCUGGCGCGCCGCAUCCGCGGGGAGAGGGCGUAAAUGUGAUUUCCUGGUUCCGUGCCAACUUUAAACCCAAAGGCUCUUUUCAGAGC
RNA transcript from Odobenus rosmarus divergens (Pacific walrus), 1113 nucleotides. RefSeq lists it as uncharacterized. The record is from RefSeq and is a predicted model, not a curated record. The transcript has 4 exons. Lineage: Eukaryota; Metazoa; Chordata; Mammalia; Carnivora; Odobenidae.